GCCCAGCCUCUCUUUCCUUGUAACCUACCCAAAGUAUGGUCAACGUUUAGGAAUGCACUCAAGAUAGUACGCAUAAGAUCGAGUCCAUUCAACUAUUUGUACGAGAAAUCCCCAUUGCAUGUGUACUAAUGAGCUGACGUCCUGGUCUCUGUUCCUCAUUUAAUGUAGUUUCCUCAUUAUGGAAGUGGAAGCAACUUGUUCUCGAAGAAGGC
RNAcentral lists this long non-coding RNA (212 nucleotides) under Elaeis guineensis (African oil palm). RNAcentral describes it as "long non-coding RNA (EGUI_LNC079942)". The record is from RNAcentral. Lineage: Eukaryota; Viridiplantae; Streptophyta; Magnoliopsida; Arecales; Arecaceae.